This 1227-nucleotide ribosomal RNA is filed under the name Bacillus sp. (in: firmicutes). RNAcentral's name for it is "bacterial SSU rRNA". It matches the Rfam family "Bacterial small subunit ribosomal RNA", at positions 35 to 1288 of the family's 1533-position model. Lineage: Bacteria; Bacillati; Bacillota; Bacilli; Caryophanales; Bacillaceae. The record is from RNAcentral.
GCAGGGGCGGCGUGCUAAUACUGCAAGUCGAGCGAAUCGAUGGGAGCUUGCUCCCUGAGAUUAGCGGCGGACGGGUGAGUAACACGUGGGCAACCUGCCUAUAAGACUGGGAUAACUUCGGGAAACCGGAGCUAAUACCGGAUACGUUCUUUUCUCGCAUGAGAGAAGAUGGAAAGACGGUUUACGCUGUCACUUAUAGAUGGGCCCGCGGCGCAUUAGCUAGUUGGUGAGGUAAUGGCUCACCAAGGCGACGAUGCGUAGCCGACCUGAGAGGGUGAUCGGCCACACUGGGACUGAGACACGGCCCAGACUCCUACGGGAGGCAGCAGUAGGGAAUCUUCCGCAAUGGACGAAAGUCUGACGGAGCAACGCCGCGUGAACGAAGAAGGCCUUCGGGUCGUAAAGUUCUGUUGUUAGGGAAGAACAAGUACCAGAGUAACUGCUGGUACCUUGACGGUACCUAACCAGAAAGCCACGGCUAACUACGUGCCAGCAGCCGCGGUAAUACGUAGGUGGCAAGCGUUGUCCGGAAUUAUUGGGCGUAAAGCGCGCGCAGGUGGUUCCUUAAGUCUGAUGUGAAAGCCCACGGCUCAACCGUGGAGGGUCAUUGGAAACUGGGGAACUUGAGUGCAGAAGAGGAAAGUGGAAUUCCAAGUGUAGCGGUGAAAUGCGUAGAGAUUUGGAGGAACACCAGUGGCGAAGGCGACUUUCUGGUCUGUAACUGACACUGAGGCGCGAAAGCGUGGGGAGCCAACAGGAUUAGAUACCCUGGUAGUCCACGCCGUAAACGAUGAGUGCUAAGUGUUAGAAGGUUUCCGGCCCUUAGUGCUGCAGCUAACGCAUUUAGCACUCCCGCCUGGGGAGUACGGCCGCCAAGCUGAAACUCAAAGGAAUGACGGGGGCCCGCACAAGCGGUUGAGCAUGUGGUUUAUUCGAAACAACGCGAGAACCUUACAAGUCUUGACAUCUCUGAACACCUAGAGUAGGGCUUUCCCCUCGGGGACAGAGUGCAGGUGGUGCUGGUUGCGUCGCUCGUGUCUGGGAUGUUGGGUAAGUCCCCAACAAGCGCACCCUUGACCUUAUUGCAGCAUCAUUUGGGCUCUUAAGGGAUGGGCGGGAAACCCGAGGGAGGGGGGGGAGAUCAAUUAUCGGCCCCUUUGACGGGGUUCCCCCGGUCCAAGGGGGGAAAGGGGGGGACCCGGGAGGGAGGAAUCCUAAACCCCUCCU